UAAAUGCGCAUGCGCGGCCGCGCCUCAGACAAUGGCGGGGGGGGUGAGGAGGGAGAGGCGGGGGGCUCCGGCCGCUGCUCCAGACCCUGCUCCGGUUCCUUCCCGCUCCCCCGGGCCCUGACCCCGGUCCCGGCCCCUUCCCGCUCCCCGGGCCCCGGCCGCGGCCUUCUCCCGCCGCCCCGGGCCGCCGCCAGCCCCGCUCCCUUCCCUAGGCCGCGACCAGGCCGCGCUCACCGCUCAGGCCGCGCCGUUGCCUGGCAACCAGCCCCCCCCACCCCCCGCCUGCUUUCCCCCGGGCAACGGCGGGCUGCUCUGACGCGACGCCCUGGCCACGCCCCCUCUCGGCGGUGACCACGCCCUCUCCCGGCGGCAGCCACGCCCCUUCUCGGCGGCGGCCACGCCCCCCCACGUGCUGCCUGGCUCCUGGGGCAGCGCCGGGUGCUUCAGGCCGAGCCGCUGCCCCCGGGGUGGGGGGGAUAGGGCCGGGGGGGGGUUAUGGGACCCCCCCUUUGGGCACAACCCCUUGAUUUUACCACUGUGGCAUCGCCUGGCGCUGGGGGAAACUAAAAUAACGCGACAUCUAGGCCGACCUGUGCUGAAGAGGGAGCCGGAGGCCAAAUAUCUGUGCUGUAAUGGGCAACGUUUCGCUUGGCAUCCUGUUACGGGAACCCCCAGGAGCCACCGUGACUGUGUCCCUCCGUUGACGUCGCCUGGCGUCCCCACUGCCCUGCCCCGAGCCGGGGGGCUCCUCGGGAGCCCUCUGGGAGAUGGAAAACUGUCCUGCUCACGGCAGAGCGGCGCUCGGAGAGCCUGGGGCUGCGGGACGGCUGCUUUGGGGACGUCCGGCUCCGCAGCAAUGACCGGCCAGCAGGUAAAACCCCGUGGCGCGGAGUCAGGGUGGCUUCACCGGCUCGAAUGAGCCCCGUUCCCGGCAAGGAAAGGCCUCGCGAAGCGCCAACGGAGCUGGCGGGGUGUUUGGUGCCGGAUCUGCCCCCCCUCCAGCUCCGUUUCAGGCUCUCCCUUCACGAGCAUCUCUCGGGGCCGCGGGUGACGCCAGCUUUGCCCCCCUCCCGCCUACGCGGGCCGCCAGGGACCUGCUUGAUGUCACCCGCGCCCGGGAGCUCCCGUGGCGCCAGAUGGCCGAGCACGUGUUUGAGGUGAGGCGCGAGAACGGCCCCACGGCUUUUUUUUGCUGCUGUUUGAACCCAAAAUGGCAUCAGGAGCCCUGGAAAACUACAGAGGUCUGGAGUCCUGCUGGGUGACGCAUCCAGUGCUGCGGCUUCCCAAAUUGGGGAAGAGGAGGCUGAGCUGAUUACUGGCCUCCUAAUUAAACAACUCCCAGCUCCGCUUGGGCCUGAGGUUGAGAAUUGGCUUCGAGAAAGCUCUAAGACAAGCGCCAGCCUCCGCCGUGGGAAUCUCUCCCUUCGCUGCUGCUUCUGGGGGACGGAGAGGGCCGAACUGCCGCUUCACCCGGCCCGGACGCAUGCGGGAGCCUUCAGCCAGUGACUGGGGGGGGGGAAAGAGGCAGAUCAGAGCCCCCCGCCCUGAAAAAAAACUAAGUCAGACGUGGCCCACGCUGUGGCCGGGACAGUGAUUUGCACAGGGCAAAAUGCUGUGUUGUAGUCGAGUGCUGUGUAUGUAGGAAACUGGUUUAAUAAAGGAUUUUAAAGUG
This is a long non-coding RNA of Dromaius novaehollandiae (emu), 1672 nucleotides long. RefSeq lists it as uncharacterized. The transcript has 4 exons. The record is from RefSeq and is a predicted model, not a curated record. NCBI's taxonomy places the organism in Eukaryota, Metazoa, Chordata, Aves, Casuariiformes, Dromaiidae.